RNAcentral lists this ribosomal RNA (158 nucleotides) under Xylaria sp. CR06. RNAcentral describes it as "5.8S ribosomal RNA". It matches the Rfam family "5.8S ribosomal RNA". Rfam says of the family: 5.8S ribosomal RNA (5.8S rRNA) is a component of the large subunit of the eukaryotic ribosome. The record is from RNAcentral. Lineage: Eukaryota; Fungi; Ascomycota; Sordariomycetes; Xylariales; Xylariaceae. RNAcentral also lists the same sequence under 3 other names.
AACUUUCAACAACGGAUCUCUUGGUUCUGGCAUCGAUGAAGAACGCAGCGAAAUGCGAUAAGUAAUGUGAAUUGCAGAAUUCAGUGAAUCAUCGAAUCUUUGAACGCACAUUGCGCCCAUUAGUAUUCUAGUGGGCAGGACCGUUCGAGCGUCAUUUC